AGCUUGUCCGGGUCCACGGCGCGUGAGGUGAGCAGGUAGUCGCGCAUCACGAUGCCGUGGCGUCCCUC
RNAcentral lists this small RNA (68 nucleotides) under Streptomyces parvus. RNAcentral's name for it is "ASdes TB sRNA". It matches the Rfam family "ASdes TB sRNA". The record is from RNAcentral. RNAcentral also lists the same sequence under 1 other name. Lineage: Bacteria; Bacillati; Actinomycetota; Actinomycetes; Kitasatosporales; Streptomycetaceae.